This 503-nucleotide ribosomal RNA is filed under the name uncultured bacterium. Its description in RNAcentral is "partial 16S ribosomal RNA". It matches the Rfam family "Bacterial small subunit ribosomal RNA", at positions 30 to 523 of the family's 1533-position model. The record is from RNAcentral.
AUUGAACGCUGGCGGCAGGCUUAACACAUGCAAGUCGAGCGGAGUGAUGGUGCUUGCACUAUCACUUAGCGGCGGACGGGUGAGUAAUGCUUAGGAAUCUGCCUAUUAGUGGGGGACAACAUCUCGAAAGGGAUGCUAAUACCGCAUACGUCCUGCGGGAGAAAGCAGGGGAUCACUUGUGACCUUGCGCUAAUAGAUGAGCCUAAGUCGGAUUAGCUAGUCGGUGGGGUAAAGGCCUACCAAGGCGACGAUCUGUAGCGGGUCUGAGAGGAUGAUCCGCCACACUGGGACUGAGACACGGCCCAGACUCCUACGGGAGGCAGCAGUGGGGAAUAUUGGACAAUGGGGGGAACCCUGAUCCAGCCAUGCCGCGUGUGUGAAGAAGGCCUUAUGGUUGUAAAGCACUUUAAGCGAGGAGGAGGCUCUUUUGGUUAAUACCCAAGAUGAGUGGACGUUACUCGCAGAAUAAGCACCGGCUAACUCUGUGCCAGCCGCCGCAGUAA